GUGAGGAAUAUUGGUCAAUGGACGAGAGUCUGAACCAGCCAAGUCGCGUGAAGGAAGACGGUUCUAUGAAUUGUAAACUUCUUUUGUGCAGGAAUAAAGUGGGUUACGUGUAACCUUUUGUAUGUACUGUACGAAUAAGGAUCGGCUAACUCCGUGCCAGCAGCCGCGGUAAUACGGAGGAUCCGAGCGUUAUCCGGAUUUAUUGGGGUUAAAGGGUGCGGAGGUGGAUUGAUAAGUAAGCGGUGAAAGUUUGCAGCUUAACUGUAAAAUUGCCGUUGAAACUGUCGGUCUUGAGUGCAAAUGAGGUAGGCGGAAUGUGUUGUGUAGCGGUGAAAUGCUUAGAUAUAACACAGAACUCCGAUUGCGAAGGCAGCUUACUGGGAUGCAACUGACACUGAUGCACGAAAGCGUGGGUAUCAAACAGGAUUAGAAACCCGUGUAGUCC
RNAcentral lists this ribosomal RNA (445 nucleotides) under uncultured bacterium. RNAcentral's name for it is "partial 16S ribosomal RNA". It matches the Rfam family "Bacterial small subunit ribosomal RNA", at positions 354 to 796 of the family's 1533-position model. The record is from RNAcentral.